Molecule: ribosomal RNA, 567 nt
Filed under: Colletotrichum sp.
Lineage: Eukaryota; Fungi; Ascomycota; Sordariomycetes; Glomerellales; Glomerellaceae
Description: eukaryotic LSU rRNA
Rfam family: 5.8S ribosomal RNA (bases 212-365)
Source: RNAcentral
AACAAGGUCUCCGUUGGUGAACCAGCGGAGGGAUCAUUACUGAGUUUACGCUCUAUAACCCUUUGUGAACAUACCUAUAACUGUUGCUUCGGCGGGCAGGGUCUCCGUGACCCUCCCGGCCUCCCGCCCCCGGGCGGGUCGGCGCCCGCCGGAGGAUAACCAAACUCUGAUUUAACGACGUUUCUUCUGAGUGGUACAAGCAAAUAAUCAAAACUUUUAACAACGGAUCUCUUGGUUCUGGCAUCGAUGAAGAACGCAGCGAAAUGCGAUAAGUAAUGUGAAUUGCAGAAUUCAGUGAAUCAUCGAAUCUUUGAACGCACAUUGCGCCCGCCAGCAUUCUGGCGGGCAUGCCUGUUCGAGCGUCAUUUCAACCCUCAAGCUCUGCUUGGUGUUGGGGCCCUACAGCUGAUGUAGGCCCUCAAAGGUAGUGGCGGACCCUCCCGGAGCCUCCUUUGCGUAGUAACUUUACGUCUCGCACUGGGAUCCGGAGGGACUCUUGCCGUAAAACCCCCCAAUUUUCCAAAGGUUGACCUCGGAUCAGGUAGGAAUACCCGCUGAACUUAAGCA